This 75-nucleotide transfer RNA is filed under the name Actinomycetota bacterium. Its description in RNAcentral is "tRNA-Ile". It matches the Rfam family "tRNA". From Rfam's summary of the family: Transfer RNA (tRNA) molecules are approximately 80 nucleotides in length. Their secondary structure includes four short double-helical elements and three loops (D, anti-codon, and T loops). The record is from RNAcentral. Lineage: Bacteria; Bacillati; Actinomycetota.
GGUCCCUUAGCUCACGGGGCAGAGCGGCCGGCUCAUAACCGGCGGGGCUGCGUUCGAGUCGCAGAGGGACCACCA